Non-coding RNA from Vibrio mangrovi, 87 nucleotides. The record is from Rfam. NCBI's taxonomy places the organism in Bacteria, Pseudomonadati, Pseudomonadota, Gammaproteobacteria, Vibrionales, Vibrionaceae.
AAUUAUGGUGGGCUGGAUUGAGGCUGACUUCGGUCAGGCCGCGUCCUUGGGAGCGGUUGUCCUAAACUCGUCCAGCUCACCACCCAU